UAUACGGUGAAACUGCGAAUGGCUCAUUAAAUCAGUUAUCGUUUAUUUGAUAGUACCUUACUACAUGGAUAACCGUGGUAAUUCUAGAGCUAAUACAUGCUAAAAACCUCGACUUCGGAAGGGGUGUAUUUAUUAGAUAAAAAACCAAUGCCCUUCGGGGCUCCUUGGUGAAUCAUAAUAACUUAACGAAUCGCAUGGCCUUGCGCCGGCGAUGGUUCAUUCAAAUUUCUGCCCUAUCAACUUUCGAUGGUAGGAUAGUGGCCUACCAUGGUAGCAACGGGUAACGGGGAAUUAGGGUUCUAUUCCGGAGAGGGAGCCUGAGAAACGGCUACCACAUCCAAGGAAGGCAGCAGGCGCGCAAAUUACCCAAUCCCGAUACGGGGAGGUAGUGACAAUAAAUACUGAUACAGGGCUCUUUUGGGUCUUGUAAUUGGAAUGAGUACAAUUUAAAUCCCUUAACGAGGAACAAUUGGAGGGCAAGUCUGGUGCCAGCAGCCGCGGUAAUUCCAGCUCCAAUAGCGUAUAUUAAAGUUGUUGCAGUUAAAAAGCUCGUAGUUGAACCUUGGGCCUGGCUGGCCGGUCCGCCUCACCGCGUGUACUGGUCCGGCCGGGCCUUUCCUUCUGGGGAACCGCAUGCCCUUCACUGGGCGUGUCGGGGAACCAGGACUUUUACUUUGAAAAAAUUAGAGUGUUCAAAGCAGGCCUUUGCUCGAAUACAUUAGCAUGGAAUAAUAGAAUAGGACGUGCGGUUCUAUUUUGUUGGUUUCUAGGACCGCCGUAAUGAUUAAUAGGGAUAGUCGGGGGCAUCAGUAUUCAAUUGUCAGAGGUGAAAUUCUUGGAUUUAUUGAAGACUAACUACUGCGAAAGCAUUUGCCAAGGAUGUUUUCAUUAAUCAGUGAACGAAAGUUAGGGGAUCGAAGACGAUCAGAUACCGUCGUAGUCUUAACCAUAAACUAUGCCGACUCGGGAUCGGUGCACGUUUCUAUUUUGACUCCAUCGGCACCGUACGAGAAAUCAAAGUU
RNAcentral lists this ribosomal RNA (1022 nucleotides) under Readeriella mirabilis. RNAcentral's name for it is "SSU rRNA". It matches the Rfam family "Eukaryotic small subunit ribosomal RNA", at positions 75 to 1105 of the family's 1831-position model. The record is from RNAcentral. Lineage: Eukaryota; Fungi; Ascomycota; Dothideomycetes; Mycosphaerellales; Mycosphaerellaceae.